RNAcentral lists this ribosomal RNA (465 nucleotides) under Vreelandella stevensii. RNAcentral describes it as "partial 16S ribosomal RNA". It matches the Rfam family "Bacterial small subunit ribosomal RNA", at positions 338 to 795 of the family's 1533-position model. Lineage: Bacteria; Pseudomonadati; Pseudomonadota; Gammaproteobacteria; Oceanospirillales; Halomonadaceae. The record is from RNAcentral.
CCUACGGGGGGCAGCAGUGGGGAAUAUUGGACAAUGGGGGGAACCCUGAUCCAGCCAUGCCGCGUGUGUGAAGAAGGCCCUCGGGUUGUAAAGCACUUUCAGUGAGGAAGAACGCCUGGUGGUUAAUACCCAUCAGGAAAGACAUCACUCACAGAAGAAGCACCGGCUAACUCCGUGCCAGCAGCCGCGGUAAUACGGAGGGUGCGAGCGUUAAUCGGAAUUACUGGGCGUAGAGCGCGCGUAGGUGGCUUGAUAAGCCGGUUGUGAAAGCCCCGGGCUCAACCUGGGAACGGCAUCCGGAACUGUCAAGCUAGAGUGCAGGAGAGGAAGGUAGAAUUCCCGGUGUAGCGGUGAAAUGCGUAGAGAUCGGGAGGAAUACCAGUGGCGAAGGCGGCCUUCUGGACUGACACUGACACUGAGGUGCGAAAGCGUGGGUAGCAAACAGGAUUAGAUACCCUAGUAGUC